AAUGAACGCUGGCGGCAUGCCUUACACAUGCAAGUCGAACGGCAGCGGACCUUCGGGUGCCGGCGAGUGGCGAACGGGUGAGUAAUAUAUCGGAACGUACCCUUCAGUGGGGGAUAACGUAGCGAAAGUUACGCUAAUACCGCAUAUUCUGUGAGCAGGAAAGCAGGGGAUCGUAAGACCUUGCGCUGAUUGAGCGGCCGAUAUCAGAUUAGCUAGUUGGUGAGGUAAAGGCUCACCAAGGCGACGAUCUGUAGCGGGUCUGAGAGGAUGAUCCGCCACACUGGAACUGAGACACGGUCCAGACUCCUACGGGAGGCAGCAGUGGGGAAUUUUGGACAAUGGGCGCAAGCCUGAUCCAGCCAUGCCGCGUGAGUGAUGAAGGCCCUAGGGUCGUAAAACUCUUUCGCUGGGGAAGAUAAUGACGGUACCCAGUAAAGAAACCCCGGCUAACUCCGUG
Molecule: ribosomal RNA, 457 nt
Filed under: uncultured bacterium
Lineage: Bacteria
Description: bacterial SSU rRNA
Rfam family: Bacterial small subunit ribosomal RNA
Source: RNAcentral